CUUUUAUAUGGUGAAACUGCGAAUGGCUCAUUAAAACAGUUAUAGUUUAUUUGAUGUUCGUUUUUUACAUGGAUAACCGUGCUAAUUGUAGGGCUAAUACAUGUUCGAUAUCACAUUAGUGAUAGUGUUUAUUAGUUCUAAAAUCAAACCGAUUUCGGUCGGUGCAGGUGAUUCAUAAUAAACUUACAAAUCGCAUGGGUUUCCCGGCGAUGUAUCAUUCAAGUUUCUGACCUAUCAGCUUUGGACGGAAGGGUAUUGGCCUACCGGGGCAACGACGGGUAACGGGGAAUUAGGGUUCGAUUCCGGAGAGGGAGCCUGAGAGACGGCUACCACAUCUAAGGAAGGCAGCAGGCAC
RNAcentral lists this ribosomal RNA (355 nucleotides) under Theileria sp. Its description in RNAcentral is "SSU rRNA". It matches the Rfam family "Eukaryotic small subunit ribosomal RNA", at positions 71 to 435 of the family's 1831-position model. The record is from RNAcentral. Lineage: Eukaryota; Apicomplexa; Aconoidasida; Piroplasmida; Theileriidae.